GAAAUGCGAUAAGUAAUGUGAAUUGCAGAAUUCCGUGAAUCAUCGAAUCUUUGAACGCACAUUGCGCCCUCUGGUAUUCCCGGGGGCAUGCCUGUCCGAGCGUCAUUGCGAACCCCUCAAGCACGGCUUGUGUGAUGGGCCCUCCCGCGUCUUGGUCGUCAAGACGGGCCCGAAAAGCAGUGGCGGCUUCGCGGUUAUCCGAUCAGCCAGAGCGUAUGGGGACUUUCUCUCUGUCACACGCCCGCGGCGCGGACCGACGCCUGUCGACCUUUAUUCAUCUUUUUCUCGGUUGACCUCGGAUCAGGUAGGGAUACCCGCUUAACUUAAGC
Molecule: unclassified non-coding RNA, 329 nt
Filed under: plant metagenome
Description: partial contains 5.8S ribosomal RNA, internal transcribed spacer 2, and large subunit ribosomal RNA
Rfam family: 5.8S ribosomal RNA (bases 1-105)
Source: RNAcentral